RNAcentral lists this long non-coding RNA (877 nucleotides) under Oryza brachyantha (malo sina). RNAcentral's name for it is "long non-coding RNA (OBRA_LNC000213)". The record is from RNAcentral. Lineage: Eukaryota; Viridiplantae; Streptophyta; Magnoliopsida; Poales; Poaceae.
GCACGCUCAGUACGAGCACGUGGCGAGGAGCUCUACGUCGCCACCUCGGAUUCGCUCCUCCAGCUCGGCCUCACGGGUAGCUCUGCAGAACCACUCGUCUUUCUUUGCAAGGUUCGGGAGCCCUGUUAGAGCCAAGGAGCUUCGAGCACGGUCCUCCCUCCUUCCUUGCACAGAGAUUUGAGAGUGGAUGAUGGAGCAGCUCGUCGACCGAAGGACGUAACAGGAGAAUCAGGAUGACCUCGCCGGCCACCACGUCGUGGAUCUGCGCCGUCACGACCGUCGCCGGCCGCUGCGUCGUCGAUCUGCUCCAGCCCGACCGUCGCUAGCCGCCGCCUCGUCACGGCACGCCGCCCCGACCGGCCCCGGCUGCCGCGUCGUCGACUCGCCUUGCCUCGACCGGAUUGAAGACGACGUUACCGGGCUCCAUCCGCUGUCGGCCGCCACGUCGUGGAUCUGGGCCGUCCCGCCCGUCGCCGGCUGCCGCGUCAUGGAUUUGCGGCGUCCCGACUGUCGCCGGCCGCCGCCUCGACGCGCCGCGCCCCCCCGACUGUCACCGGCCGCUGCCCCGACAAGCCCUGGCCGCUGAGUUGUCGGCCCGCCUUGCUCCGACCGGACUGAAGCCGCCGUUGCUUCGCCCCAUCUGCCACCGUUGCGACGCCGUGCCCGCCGCCGCCUUCGGCGCUAGAUCUGGUGUGAGCGGCGGCGGAGGAGAGGGGAAGAGGGCAAUAUUGUUAUAACAUGAGAUUUUUGAAGCCUUCUUUUGCAUAUACGUUGCUAUAGUCCUAUUUACAAUAAAAUAAAGGGUGUACUUAUAAAUAAAAGGGACUAAAAUAUAAAAUGAUGAUGAUCCUACCAUCAAGUGAUCUGCACCGUGAGC